CAAAUUCAUCCAAGACCGGUCCAUUUCUUAUUUCUUGAAGCCUAAUCUUGACAAUAAAUUGCACGGGUUUAGGAUUUAGGAAUAAGUAUAGUUAAGCUAUGUAAGUUAUGUAUUAUGUAAGUUAUUCAUUACCCAAAUUAUGUAAGUUGUGUAUUAUGAAAAUUAUGCUAUGUAAGUUAUGUAAGUCAUAUAAGUUAUGUAAGUUGUAAGUUAUGUAAAUUAUUUAUUAUGAAAAUUAAGUAAGUUAUGUAAUUUAUGAAUAAUUAAAAAAACGUAAGUUAUGUAAGUUGUAAGUUAUGUAAGUUGUAAGUUAUGUAUAAUAUUAAUUAACUAACUUAUGUAAUUUAAGUAUAAUAUUAAUGUAAGUUAUGUAUAAUAUUAAUUAACUAACUUAUGUAAUUUAAGUAUAAUUAACAAAGUUAUGUAAUUUAUGUAUAAUAUUAAUGUAAUUAGUUAUGUAAUUUAUGUAUAUUAAUUAAUUAAGUUAUGUAAUUUAUGUAUAAUAUUAAUGUAAGUUAUGUAAUUUAUGAAUAAUUAUAAAAAUGUAAGUUAUGUAAGUUGUAAGUUAUGUAAGUUAUGUAUAAUAUUAAUUAAUUAAGUUAUGUAAGUUGUAAGUUAUUACUGUAAGCAAUGUAAUUUAUGUGUAAUAAUUAAUUAAGUUAUGUAAUUUAUGUAUAAUAUUAGUGCAAGUUAUGUAUAAUAUUAAUUAAUUAAGUUAUGUAAUUUAUGUAUAAUAUUAAUGUAACUUAUGUAAUUUAUGUAUAUUAAUUAAUUAAAUGAUAUGUACAAGCUUAUGGAAGCUAAGAAAAAGUAAAACUAUCCUUUCACUUUUGUGUUUCCUCUUCUCUCUUAUUCUUACUAUAGUUCUUUUAGUUUUAUAAUGUCUUGAUAUAUAAAAUUAGUCAAAUUUUAAUUUUGGUCCUUAUACUAUUCUUAAAUUUGAGAUUUUAUAUUUAUAUUUUAAUUUUUGACAUAAUUUGCACUCUCAAUGUUUAUAAUGCUAUUAGUUAAAUGAAAUAUCUUAUUUUAAUUAAAAUGCUUAUGAGAAUUUUAAAUUUUUUUAAUUUCAUUAAAAUUCUUUGUUGAAUUCAGGUCCAUUAAAUGUGUUAAACUCUUAUAAUGUCACAACAACAAAUUUAACAAAUGAACUCCAAUUUUAAAUUUUAAAAAUAAAGAGACUAAAUUAUUAAAAAUAAAAAUUUGGAGAUUGAACAUCAAAUAUACAAAGAAUACAAAAGCUUGAAAUUUUAAUUAUUUAGUCUAAAACUAAUUAACCCAACCCGAGACAUAAAUUGAAAACCAUAUUAAUUUUAAUAACUUUAAUGUUGUUUUCUAGGCCCUAGCUAACCAUUUUUCUAAAGAUAUUUAACAAACGAAAAACAUAACCUCUGAAAGAUGUUUUGCGUAAUGUGGAAAUUGGGUGAAAGAUAAAAAUAUAUUUAUUACAUAAUUGAAAAUAAAUUUAUUUUUCUGCUGUACGUUAAAUAAAUUAAUAAUAUAUUUAUAAUUAAAUAAAACAAUAAAAGCUAAUUUUAGUAAGUCAUGUAUUUAACAUUCUGUUAAAUCGGGCAGCCCAUUUUUACAAUGUAUAUACAAUAUCCAAAUCUCCUGUGUAAGAAAAAACAGCAGAGAACUAACAAACUCAUUCAACAAAGCAGAACAGACAUGUAGGAACUCGGUGUAGGAACAAAGCAGAACAGACAUGUUGGAACAGACAUGUAAGAAAUCGUGUAACAUAGUUUAACAUUGUUUACCAACUACAGAGCUAAUUACAGAGUGCUGCCAAAUCGAUUACGUUCUAAGAAAAUUACUUUCAACAAUUGUUACUGCAACAUGGUAAGGCAGCAAGGACAUUUUGAUUAAAAUAAUAUCAGGAAACUUACCUAAAUACGAGCUGAUCAAUAAGGCAGUAACAAAUGGUUAAUCCACAAUUUUUCCAUUUCAAAUAUCUUUAACAGUUUGGCAAAUGCAGUGUUAAUUCUGGGAAACAAAACUUGAACAUAAGACAAUGGGUAAUUUUUAACUCUUCAACAAUGAGAAGAACAAAGUAUUUAACUAAAUUACAAUUUCCUAAAACAACUCUAAAUUUCUUAAAACAAGCACAACAAAGAAAAUAAGUGAUACACAAGAAGCACAGUUACAGGUCAGUUAUGCUCAACUUAUCAAACGCAUAAGAAAACAGUUGAAUAAAAAAAAAGGUGUUUUUCCAUAUAAAUAAGCUAUACAAAAAAUUGUUACAAAUGAAGAAAAACUGCAGGGAGAAGAACUGAAAACAUUUAUCCACAACACUAAAUAGAAAUUUCAGUUGAAGCAAAAUAACAGUCCAAAAUAUUUGUAUAUUUAAUAUGAAUUGAUUUUAAAUGUGACAAAAUUUUUAUUGUUACUUUUCAAACCCAAAUUUCUGGACUCUCCUAAACUAAACCAAAAUUUCUUGUUAAAUUGUAUCAUUUAACAAGUCUCAAAUUAUAAAUUAACCUUCAACCACAUAUGAAUCCACAAACAUCAUAUUAACAGAAGAAUUUAACAAGUCCCGAAAUUUUGCUUUCUCCUCUCAAAAUCUUCUAACACCACAUGCAAGAUUAAAUUGGAAACAGAACCAUCGUAUUCCAACGUGCAAAAAUGGUUCAACUAAAGCUCAAUUUGUCAAGGAAAAGCAUUUAUACCAACAUGGUUCUAUUGCAGUAAAACUCGAUAAAACCAUAAACUCCAGAUACGACCCAACACCUAAACAACCAUAGACCAAGUUGCAGGGAUGCCAUAAUUUUCAUAAUUUAUAUCAACACUCAUUAUGGUGAUAACUACAGAAAAUAAUUUAACAAUAAAUGCCUUUAGAAGUAUAACCUGUACAUUGCUGAAGCCGGAAACCCCGAAUGAUUUUUGAGAAAAAGAGGAAAACCUUACCGAUUUCUUCGACGGCAAAGGAGUGCGAUGGUAGAGGACUGCGACGGUCGACGAAUGCGACGGUAGACGAUCAACGGCAGAAGGGACGGUUAUUUUCAAAGCAGCAGAUUUGGGGAAGGUUCGGGUCCUGGAGCGCAGCAGAUUUGGGGAAGGUUUAGGGUUCUUGCCUUGGGGAAAUUUUGGGGAAAAUUUAGAGGGAAUGAAGAUUUCGUGUAUGGGAAAAAUGAACUGGGGAAUAAAAU
Molecule: long non-coding RNA, 3143 nt
Filed under: Gossypium barbadense (sea-island cotton)
Lineage: Eukaryota; Viridiplantae; Streptophyta; Magnoliopsida; Malvales; Malvaceae
Description: long non-coding RNA (GBAR_LNC019016)
Source: RNAcentral